RNAcentral lists this ribosomal RNA (447 nucleotides) under uncultured bacterium. RNAcentral describes it as "bacterial SSU rRNA". It matches the Rfam family "Bacterial small subunit ribosomal RNA", at positions 1 to 445 of the family's 1533-position model. The record is from RNAcentral.
CCCUUAGAGUUUGAUCCUGGCUCAGGACGAACGCUGGCGGCGCGCCUAACACAUGCAAGUCGAACGAGAGAUGAGGAGCUUGCUCUUCAAAUCGAGUGGCGAACGGGUGAGUAACGCGUGAGGAACCUGCCUCAAAGAGGGGGACAACAGUUGGAAACGACUGCUGAUACCGCAUAAGCCCACGGCUCGGCAUCGAGCAGAGGGAAAAGGAGCAAUCCGCUUUGAGAUGGCCUCGCGUCCGAUUAGCUGGUUGGUGAGGUAAUGGCCCACCAAGGCGACGAUCGGUAGCCGGACUGAGAGGUUGAACGGCCACAUUGGGACUGAGACACGGCCCAGACUCCUAUGGGAGGCAGCAGUGGGGAAUAUUGCACAAUGGGGGAAACCCUGAUGCAGCGACGCCGCGUGGAGGAAGAAGGUCUUCGGAUUGUAAACUCCUGUUGUUGAGGA